RNAcentral lists this ribosomal RNA (484 nucleotides) under uncultured bacterium. Its description in RNAcentral is "bacterial SSU rRNA". It matches the Rfam family "Bacterial small subunit ribosomal RNA", at positions 29 to 487 of the family's 1533-position model. The record is from RNAcentral.
AACUAACGCUGGCGGCGUGCCUAACACAUGCAAGUCGUACGAGAAAGUCGGCUUCGGCUGAUGAGUAAAGUGGCGCACGGGUGAGUAACGCGUGGAUAAUCUGCCCUUGAGUGUGGAAUAACGUACCGAAAGGUGCGCUAAUACCGCAUAAUGCCUGGCAACACAAGUUGUCCGGCCAAAGAAGGCCUCUGUUUACAAGCUUUUGCUCAAGGAUGAGUCCGCGUACCAUUAGCUAGUUGGUGGGGUAACGGCCUACCAAGGCUACGAUGGUUAGCUGGUCUGAGAGGAUGAUCAGCCACACUGGAACUGAGACACGGUCCAGACUCCUACGGGAGGCAGCAGUGAGGAAUAUUGCGCAAUGGGGGCAACCCUGACGCAGCAACGCCGCGUGAGUGAGGAAGGUUUUCGGGACUGUAAAGCUCUGUCGAGCGGGAAGAAAUGUACCAUGGCUAAUAUCCAUGAUAUUUGACGGUACCGCUAGAGG